GAUGAACGCUGGCGGCGUGCCUAACACAUGCAAGUCGAGCGAACCCUUCGGGGUGAGCGGCGGACGGGUGAGUAACGCGUGGGUAACCUGCCCUAUACACACGGAUAACGUACCGAAAGGUACGCUAAUACGGGAUAAAGUUGUUGGAUGGCAUCUUCUAACAAUCAAAGCUCCGGAGGUAUAGGAUGGACCCGCGUCUGAUUAGCUAGUUGGUGAGGUAAUGGCUCACCAAGGCGACGAUCAGUAGCCGACCUGAGAGGUGGAUCGGCCAAACUGGAACUGAGAAACGGUCCAGACUCCGACGGGAGGCAGCAGUGGGGGAUAUUGCACAAUGGGCGAAAGCCUGAUGCAGCAACGCCGCGUGAGCGAUGAAGGUCUUCGGAUCGUAAAGCUCUGUCCUCAAGGAAGAUAAUGACGGUACUUGAGGAGGAAGCCCCGGCUAACUACGUGCCAGCCGCCGCCGUAA
RNAcentral lists this ribosomal RNA (466 nucleotides) under uncultured bacterium. RNAcentral's name for it is "partial 16S ribosomal RNA". It matches the Rfam family "Bacterial small subunit ribosomal RNA", at positions 28 to 523 of the family's 1533-position model. The record is from RNAcentral.